AACACAUUGUUCAGUUUGGCUCCCACUUGCCACUUGCUCUCCGGGUCUCAAAAUGCUGCCAUCCACCUGCCCUGCACAGGGAGCCUCACUCAUCCACUCACUGCCACCAGUAAGCACCACCCUACACCCAGCACUGGUCCCUGAAUGGCCAGAGGGAAGACCACCCAGAACACUGGUGAAGGCAUUAAUCAGGGACCCAGUUCAAGCCAGGCCCUUCUGCUGCUCCCGCUCGGUGUCACUGUGAGGCACUGGGAGUGCCCAGGACACAGUGACCCAGGCCUGGACCUGCUGGCACGUCCUGGAUAGAGCAGGACUCACACCAGAGAGAUGAGGGCUUCGGGUAAGGACAGACCCGGGCUGGCUGGGCCGCAGAAUGUCAUCUCCUGCUAGCCGUGGCUUCCUCAUCACCAGAUCUAUAAAAACAACUUCCCACGGCCGUGAGGGCUCGAGUGAGAUAGCACAGAGGAAAUGCUUCCCCACUUGUAAAACUCUCUCUGUGGGCCACUAUCGUGCCUGGCUGCCACACUUCCUCUCCGCUCCAACUAAGGCCUCGCUGUUCACAUGCAGGCAGCUCCCCGAGGAGGUUGUGGGGCCAGGAUACAGGGCCUUGUAGACGAGCAAGAAUGCAUGGUCUCAGGGGGAUGGGAAGCCUUCUGAGCGCUUCCUCCAGACAGUGCCGGAGAAGGGGCCUGGCUGCUCCUUGCCCCGGCUGCGGGCCAGCGUCCAGUCUGCUAUGUCUCUAGCAUGUGCCCCUCUGAGAUCAGUGAGAGCCCCAGUCAUGCAUCCCCAGGGGUCCUGUAACAGAGGACCACACACCGGGGGGCUUCAAACAACAGAAAUGCAUCCUUGCACACUUCCAGAGGCCAGGAGUCCUAAGGCAUCGGCAGGGCUGACUCCUUCUGGGGUCUCCGAGGGAGAAUUCCACUCCAUCCGCUCCCAGCUGCUGCUGGCCCCGGCUCUUCUCUGCUUAUGGACACUUCAGUCCACUCUGCCUCUGCUGUCCCAUGGAUUUUCUCUUCUAAGAACACUUGUCAUUGAAUUCACAGCCCUCCCUACUUCAGAACAAUCUCAUCGCAACAUCCUUAACUGAAUCACACCUACAAAGACCCUUUUUCCAGAUGAGGCCACUCUCACAGUCUCUGGGCCGUGGGCUUAUUUUUUGGGGCUGCCAUUCAACCCCCCUCAUCACACUCUCACACUUUCUGAGCUGAGAUCCACAGUAAGGAAUACACUGUUUCAUCUUCGCCCUAGGCACAUACUCUCAUCCGCAGCUGAAAUGCAGUUUCAGAAUGUGAAUCCUUAUUUCACGUUCUGUGUGGUGAUGUUUUCUGUUUUCUCUCUUGCCUCCUCCUCAGCAUUGGCUACACACCCACUAAUUGAUUCCCAGAGCUCACAGCCUGGAUCAAAGUUGUUUCUUUGUUUUGUUUGUUUGUUUGUUUGUUUGUUUAGAGACAGAGUCUUGCUCAGUUGCCCAGGCUGGAAUGCAGUGGUGCAAUCACAGCUCACUGCAGCCUCAACCUCCUGGGCUCAAGUGAUCCUCUUGCCUCGGCCUCCCGAGUAGCUGGGACUACAAGUGCAUGCCAUCAUACUUGGCUAAUAUUUUCAAAAUUUUCCUAAGGCUGGGCGCGGUGGCUCACGCCUGUAAUCCCAGCACUUUGGGAGGCCGAGGCAGGUGGAUCACCUGAGGUCGGGAGUUUGAGUCCAGCCUGACCAACAUGGAGAAACCCCAUCUCUACUAAAAAUACAAAAUUAGCUGGGCAUGGUGGCACAUGCCUGUAAUCCCAGCUACUAGGGAGGCUGAGGCAGGAGAAUCACUUGAACCUGGGAGGCAGAGGUUGUGGUGAGCCGAGAUCGUGCCAUUGCACCCCAGCCUGGGCAACAAGAGCGAAACUCCAUCUCG
Molecule: long non-coding RNA, 1900 nt
Filed under: Homo sapiens (human)
Lineage: Eukaryota; Metazoa; Chordata; Mammalia; Primates; Hominidae
Description: non-protein coding lnc-SLX1B-5:1
Source: RNAcentral